This 491-nucleotide ribosomal RNA is filed under the name beta proteobacterium I-22. RNAcentral describes it as "bacterial SSU rRNA". It matches the Rfam family "Bacterial small subunit ribosomal RNA", at positions 389 to 873 of the family's 1533-position model. The record is from RNAcentral. Lineage: Bacteria; Pseudomonadati; Pseudomonadota; Betaproteobacteria.
CAGCCCUCCCGCGUGUAUGAUGAAGGCCUUCGGCUUGUAAAGUACUUUUGGCAGAGAAGAAAAGGUAUCUCCUAAUACGAGAUACUGCUGACGGUAUCUGCAGAAUAAGCACCGGCUAACUACGUGCCAGCAGCCGCGGUAAUACGUAGGGUGCAAGCGUUAAUCGGAAUUACUGGGCGUAAAGCGUGUGUAGGCGGUUCGGAAAGAAAGAUGUGAAAUCCCAGGGCUCAACCUUGGAACUGCAUUUUUAACUGCCGAGCUAGAGUAUGUCAGAGGGGGGUAGAAUUCCACGUGUAGCAGUGAAAUGCGUAGAUAUGUGGAGGAAUACCGAUGGCGAAGGCAGCCCCCUGGGAUAAUACUGACGCUCAGACACGAAAGCGUGGGGAGCAAACAGGAUUAGAUACCCUGGUAGUCCACGCCCUAAACGAUGUCAACUAGCUGUUGGGGCCGUUAGGCCUUAGUAGCGCAGCUAACGCGUGAAGUUGACCGCC